Molecule: ribosomal RNA, 420 nt
Filed under: uncultured bacterium
Lineage: Bacteria
Description: bacterial SSU rRNA
Rfam family: Bacterial small subunit ribosomal RNA
Source: RNAcentral
GAGGAAUAUUGGUCAAUGGGCGGAAGCCUGAACCAGCCAUCCCGCGUGCAGGAAGACGGCCCUAUGGGUUGUAAACUGCUUUUCCAGGGGGAGAAACUUUCCGAUGCAUCGGGAUUUGACGGUACCCUGGGAAUAAGCAUCGGCUAACUCCGUGCCAGCAGCCGCGGUAAUACGGAGGAUGCGAGCGUUAUCCGGAUUUAUUGGGUUUAAAGGGUGCGUAGGCGGGUUAAUAAGUCAGUGGUGAAAACCUACAGCUUAACUGUAGACUUGCCGUUGAUACUGUUAGUCUUGAGUGUGGUCAAGGUAGGCGGAAUGUGUAAUGUAGCGGUGAAAUGCUUAGAUAUUACACAGAACACCGAUUGCGAAGGCAGCUUACUGGGCCAUUACUGGCGCUGAUGCACGAAAGCGUGGGGAUCAAAC